UACGUAGGGCGCAAGCGUUAUCCGGAAUUAUUGGGCGUAAAGAGCUCGUAGGCGGUUUGUCGCGUCUGCCGUGAAAGUCCGGGGCUCAACUCCGGAUCUGCGGUGGGUACGGGCAGACUAGAGUGAUGUAGGGGAGACUGGAAUUCCUGGUGUAGCGGUGAAAUGCGCAGAUAUCAGGAGGAACACCGAUGGCGAAGGCAGAUCUCUGGGCAUUAACUGACGCUGAGGAGCGAAAGCAUGGGGAGCGAACAGG
This 253-nucleotide ribosomal RNA is filed under the name uncultured bacterium. RNAcentral's name for it is "partial 16S ribosomal RNA". It matches the Rfam family "Bacterial small subunit ribosomal RNA", at positions 524 to 776 of the family's 1533-position model. The record is from RNAcentral.